RNAcentral lists this ribosomal RNA (258 nucleotides) under uncultured bacterium. RNAcentral describes it as "partial 16S ribosomal RNA". It matches the Rfam family "Bacterial small subunit ribosomal RNA", at positions 1243 to 1500 of the family's 1533-position model. The record is from RNAcentral.
AGGGAAGCGAAAUGGUAACAUGGAGCAAACCCCUAAAAGCAGUCUCAGUUCAGAUUGUGGGCUGCAACUCGCCCACAUGAAGGUGGGAAUUGCUAGUAAUCGCGGAUCAGCAUGCCGCGGUGAAUACGUUCCCGGGCCUUGUACACACCGCCCGUCACACCAUGAGAGUCGGAAACACCCGAAGCCUGUAGCUUAACCGCAAGGAGGGCGCAGUCGAAGGUGGGUUCGAUAAUUGGGGUGAAGUCGUAACAAGGUAGC